AUGUUAGGAUCGGCUGGCUCAUCCUCAUCAUCCGAAAAGAAAACAGAGACAAAACAGAUUUGUUUCAAUGACAUAUCUAAUCAGACUGAAAUUGAUGUCGAAGACACGAUCAGUCACAUCAAUUGAAGCAGGCAGGAAGGGCGCGGAAGCUACCGUUUAACGAAUGCAAUGCAAGCAAGGUAG
Molecule: ribosomal RNA, 183 nt
Filed under: Triticum aestivum (bread wheat)
Lineage: Eukaryota; Viridiplantae; Streptophyta; Magnoliopsida; Poales; Poaceae
Description: partial small subunit ribosomal RNA
Source: RNAcentral